This 264-nucleotide ribosomal RNA is filed under the name uncultured prokaryote. RNAcentral's name for it is "partial 16S ribosomal RNA". It matches the Rfam family "Bacterial small subunit ribosomal RNA", at positions 524 to 788 of the family's 1533-position model. The record is from RNAcentral.
UACGUAGGGGCGAGCGUUGUCCGGAAUUAUUGGGCGUAAAGGGUACGCAGGCGGUUCUUUAAGUCUGAUGUGAAAUCUCACAGCUUAACUGUGAGCGGUCAUUGGAAACUGAGGAACUUGAGUAUAGAAGAGAAGAGUGGAAUUCCUAGUGUAGCGGUGAAAUGCGUAGAGAUUAGGAAGAACACCAGUGGCGAAGGCGAUUCUCUGGACUGUAACUGACGCUGAGGCGCGAAAGCGUGGGGAGCAAACAGGAUUAGAUACCCU